CUGCGCUCUGCCGGGGGCGCGCGAGCCGAGGUCCUCCUGCCCCGUGGGUCUGCAUCCUGAUGGGGGAAGAGAGAUGUAAUGGAGAAACCAGGCUGCAAACAUGGUCUACCCAAACAACAGGGGAAACUAACUAAUUGAACAAAGACACUCCUGUGCCCAAAGUUUAAAGUUAUGGAGUUACAACACAGAAUUUAUAGCCCAAGGCCAGAAGCAUUAUAUAGGUUUUAA
Long non-coding RNA from Rhea pennata, 228 nucleotides. RefSeq lists it as uncharacterized. The record is from RefSeq and is a predicted model, not a curated record. The transcript is spliced from 3 exons. Lineage: Eukaryota; Metazoa; Chordata; Aves; Rheiformes; Rheidae.